AAUGUAGAGAGAGCAGGUCAGUUAUAGAGGGGAAGGUAGUUAGCUAGCUAGCUACAUCUGUAAACGCUAGCUGGUUAGCCAGGUUAGAUAUGUAGGUAAUGUAGAGAGAGCAGGUCAGUUAUAGAGGGGAAGGUAGUUAGCUAGCUAGCUACAUCUGUAAACGCUAGCUGGUUAGCCAGGUUAGAUAUGUAGGUAAUGUAGAGAGAGCAGGUCAGUUAUAGAGGGGAAGGUAGUUAGCAGGAAUAACUCCUGGUUUGUCUAGAAAUGACUAAAUGUUUAGGUCUGGUUAGGCCACCGUGUCAGAUAGUCGACUAAACAGUUGUUGUUUGUCCCGUCGGAUUAGCAUUCAGAUCAUGGCUAACCUAACUAAACUAACUAACUAACUAACUAACUAACUAUUCCCGUUAGUUAACCUAGUAAAAACACCUUGGACAUGACAAGACACUAACUAGCUUGUUAAAACAGGCGAAUAUCAAAUCUAAAAUGUACUAGUUAAAUAUCCACGAACUAGUUAUCCUCGUCCGUUUGGUUGUUGAGUUAUUAUUAUUUGUUUUAACUAACUAGUACUAGUUAACGUUACCUAUAUUAGACGUUAAGAUGUUAGUAAAUAGAAGAACCGGAUGUAGUUAUCGCCAUGACAGGUCUGUCCAGCGGAUUUUAUCCGUUUUUAAUCCCCCCCCCCCCCAAAAAAAAACAACACUCAAAUGAACCGUAAAACGUUUUAGUUAUCUACCGUUAUUAGUUUUUUACCUGUCAGGCGGAUUUUAAUGCUGGACACGUUUCUCUGAGAGCCGGGACCCGACAUCACAACGGAAGAACAGUGGUUGUAAACGCCAGCUUCAAUAUAACCAACUCCCAACACUCCUCCUGAGGAUAUUUGGACCUCUAGGUUGUUAGAAUAUGUGGCUUGUCUUCUUCAAGGGGAAAUGUGUAUUAUUUCCAGGCGAAAUCCCCCGUCCCGAACAAGCAGCAACACAGACGGACAUUUUCAAGGUGGCUCUGGACCAUAAAG
This 1012-nucleotide long non-coding RNA is filed under the name Salmo salar (Atlantic salmon). RNAcentral's name for it is "lncRNA (ENSSSAG00000093560.1)". The record is from RNAcentral. Lineage: Eukaryota; Metazoa; Chordata; Actinopteri; Salmoniformes; Salmonidae.